This 351-nucleotide ribosomal RNA is filed under the name uncultured bacterium. RNAcentral's name for it is "bacterial SSU rRNA". It matches the Rfam family "Bacterial small subunit ribosomal RNA", at positions 527 to 881 of the family's 1533-position model. The record is from RNAcentral.
GUAGGUCCCGAGCGUUGUCCGGAUUUAUUGGGCGUAAAGCGAGCGCAGGCGGUUUGAUAAGUCUGAAGUUAAAGGCUGUGGCUCAACCAUAGUUCGCUUUGGAAACUGUCAAACUUGAGUGCAGAAGGGGAGAGUGGAAUUCCAUGUGUAGCGGUGAAAUGCUUAGAUAUCACGAAGAACUCCGAUUGCGAAGGCAGCCUGCUAAGCUGCAACUGACAUUGAGGCUCGAAAGUGUGGGUAUCGAACAGGAUUAGAUACCCUGGUAGUCCGCACGGUAAACGAUGGAUGCCCGCUGUUGGUCUGAAUAGGUCAGCGGCCAAGCGAAAGCAUUAAGCAUCCCACCUGGGGAGU